CUCAUCAUGCCAAGCCAACAGAAGAAAAUCAUUUUUUGCAUGGCUGGAGUGUUAAGUUUUGCAUGUGCCCUCGGAGUUGUGACAGCCUUGGGGACACCAUUGUGGAUCAAAGCCACUAUCCUCUGCAAAACGGGAGCUCUGCUCGUCAAUGCCUCAGGGCAGGAGCUGGACAAGUUUAUGGGUGAAAUGCAGUAUGGGCUUUUCCACGGAGAGGGUGUGAGGCAGUGUGGGUUAGGAGCAAGGCCCUUUCGGUUCUCAUUUUUUCCAGAUUUGCUCAAAGCAAUCCCAGUGAGCAUCCACGUCAAUGUCAUUCUCUUCUCUGCCAUCCUUAUUGUGUUAACCAUGUUGGGGACAGCCUUCUUCAUGUACAAUGCUUUUGGAAAACCCUUUGAAACUCUGCAUGGUCCCCUAGGGUUGUACCUUUUGAGCUUCAUUUCAGGUAAGUACAAAAUUCUACCUCUGAAGACAAAUGUGCUUUUCAAUAUGCCAAAAAAAUGGUCUAUCUAAAUAUAAAGUUAUAAUCUUAACAUAUAUACAUGGAUGCACACUGUAGUAUUAUAUAUAAUAACAAAAAGUGUGGAAAUACCACACUUGCUCAACAGUAGG
This 606-nucleotide small RNA is filed under the name Pongo abelii (Sumatran orangutan). RNAcentral describes it as "retained intron". Lineage: Eukaryota; Metazoa; Chordata; Mammalia; Primates; Hominidae. The record is from RNAcentral.